Long non-coding RNA from Brachypodium distachyon (stiff brome), 1094 nucleotides. RefSeq lists it as uncharacterized. NCBI's taxonomy places the organism in Eukaryota, Viridiplantae, Streptophyta, Magnoliopsida, Poales, Poaceae. The record is from RefSeq and is a predicted model, not a curated record. The transcript has 3 exons.
GGCCUGCAUGCUCCAUUGUCUUGUCCCGCGGGCUACGGCUUCGGUGUCAUCAAUCAUGCGAGUAGUAGCAUUCGCUGAUCGAGGGCGGCCGGCCUACGUGGUUUAAGCUCGAACGGAACUAUAUGUGAUACGUGCAAGAGUACGUAUAGCUCGUAUGGAGAUCCCACUGGCCGCGCAAGUUGCUCCGAAAAGCUCAAGCUAAGGAUUUGCCAGUGGAUUCCUCAAUUUCUUUUUCCAUGCAUGCUCAUCCACCGGUACAAGUACUAUAGCGUAAUAAAAUCAUUGCGAGUAGCUCUAGCAUCUUGGCGACGCGAUAGACACGUGCACAACGCAUGAAUUAUCACAUGAUCCAAGACCUAUAUAUCUGGCUAUCUUGUUCGGAGUAAUUUAGUGCGUGUGUAUCUUUACUCUCGAAAGGACCAAUGUAUGCUUCAUCGCGGUGGUCCAGCUAGCGACGUUUGUCCCGUGUUAUCAUCUGUUUCGUACGUAUAGAUCAUUAGUAGAUCGUGGUGUCCCGAAGGCCCCUACUACUUGCACGAGCUAGCACAGUUAUGUGCGCAACGCAAGCAUGUGCUCAAGGGCCGUUGCGCACCAGCUACCAUACACAGCAGCAGGCUGGCAGCUCGAUGGAUUGUGUCCUCUCCAUCUCUCGCCGCGGAAACUACAGCAAGCAGCAGGUGCAAACAAGGCAAUGCAUACACGGCACCAGUCACCACGACGUCCUUGGCGCGAAACGACAGCAAUGUACACUCCAGUAUUCCCAAUUUUUUCGACGGCCGGGCGUGCAACUUGUGACGACGACAGUGGAGCGAGAGCGAGGCAGCGAUGAGAUCAGGGCCCACGCGGCAAUAUCCUUUUCCUCUUUUCGCCGUUUCUGUGUGGGCUCCAUGCUCUGAUCAUUCUCCUCGCCCCAGAGAGAGACGCAUCCGGGAAUCAGUGCCAAGACAUGUGGGCCCACCACUGUUUUUGCUCGACUUUGGGAUAGAGAGCUGGCUGGGUCCACACCGGGCACGACAACGAAUAAUUUUUUUUGUGAAGAGGGGAUUGUACGUGCUAUCCUGUUCUCUAUGCACACGACAUCGUGCUACCCUCCC